UAGGGCUGCGCGCAGCUGAUGCAGCAUGCUGCGUGUGUGAGAUGCUUCGGGUUGUAAGUCUGUCGCGAGGACGACAGGCUGAGGUUAAUACCCGCGGCCUUGACGGUACUCGCCUAAAAGCACGGCUAACUACGUGCCAGCAGCCGCGGUAAU
Molecule: ribosomal RNA, 153 nt
Filed under: uncultured bacterium
Lineage: Bacteria
Description: partial 16S ribosomal RNA
Source: RNAcentral